GCCUGCUUUGAUUCCCGGCCUGAGGACCAGGGCAAGGUCAAAGGCCCAAAUGUGCAGUCAAUCUAGCGUUGCUUCAGAAAUAGACACAAGAUCUACAGGAUGGAGCCCAGAGCUCACCAGAGAGUUCCAAAAGAAGGAGGAGGGCCCAGGCGUCCUUGCUCAUGGCUCGUGGCUGCAGUCUCUGCCCCUGUGUCGCUGGGCCUUCCACGUCUCCUCGACACACUGAUCCAGAAUGAUCUGUUCAUCGGUCACCUGCAAAGGCUCAAGGCAGGCCCAGUCCUGGGGCUCUGUGUGG
This 295-nucleotide long non-coding RNA is filed under the name Chinchilla lanigera (long-tailed chinchilla). RNAcentral's name for it is "lncRNA (ENSCLAG00000025919.1)". Lineage: Eukaryota; Metazoa; Chordata; Mammalia; Rodentia; Chinchillidae. The record is from RNAcentral.